CGUCCAUUGAUUGAGCGAGUCAGUCCCUAUCCAUCGAUCCAUCUCAUCCACCGGCCAAAGCUUGAGAGUGUUAUACAACCAGCAAGAUUAGCUCCAUUACAUCCAUCAAUCCGACCAUUUCUUCUCACCUUAUCACCUUCAUUAUUCUAUGUUCAUUAUUAGUUUCAUUCAUACUCAUCUCAUUUGCAUUUGUUUCGGGUUCAUAUGGUUCAAAGAAUCUUAAAUCGGCUCCCAUCGGCUCUUGUCGAUUACUCGACCAUUGAACAAUCAGCAGUCUGGUUCCUCCUUCAACCAAUUUGUGGGUUACCCCCGCCCCGUUCCUACAACAAUUCUGGUGCUUCCUUUCAUGCCACCCCUCAUGGAAGCU
Molecule: long non-coding RNA, 367 nt
Filed under: Brassica napus (rape)
Lineage: Eukaryota; Viridiplantae; Streptophyta; Magnoliopsida; Brassicales; Brassicaceae
Description: long non-coding RNA (BNAP_LNC024923)
Source: RNAcentral